GACGGAGGAUCCAAGCGUUAUCCGGAUUCAUUGGGUUUAAAGGGUGCGUAGGCGGACUUAUAAGUCAGUGGUGAAAGCCGAUAGCUUAACUAUCGAACUGCCAUUGAUACUGUAAGUCUAGAGUAUAGAUGAUGUUGGCGGAAUAUGACAUGUAGCGGUGAAAUGCAUAGAUAUGUCAUAGAACACCGAUUGCGAAGGCAGCUGACAAAACUAUAACUGACGCUGAUGCACGAAAGUGCGGGGAGCAAACAGG
RNAcentral lists this ribosomal RNA (253 nucleotides) under uncultured bacterium. RNAcentral describes it as "partial 16S ribosomal RNA". It matches the Rfam family "Bacterial small subunit ribosomal RNA", at positions 524 to 776 of the family's 1533-position model. The record is from RNAcentral.